AGUUGGGUCGCUAUCUGCCGGGGGCGCUGGAGAAAGGAGGGGGGCUGCUCCUAGUACGAGAGGACCGGAGUGGACGCAUCACUGGUGUUCGGGUUGUCAUGCCAAUGGCACUGCCCGGUAGCUAAAUGCGGAAGAGAUAAGUGCUGAAAGCAUCUAAGCACGAAACUUGCCCCGAGAUGAGUUCUCCCUGAGACUUUAAGUCUCCUGAAGGAACGUUAAAGACGAUGACGUUGAUAGGCCGGGUGUGUAAGCGCAGCGAUGCGUUGAGCUAACCGGUACUAAUGAACCGUGAGGCUUAACCUUACAACGCCGAAG
This 315-nucleotide ribosomal RNA is filed under the name Klebsiella pneumoniae. RNAcentral's name for it is "bacterial LSU rRNA". It matches the Rfam family "Bacterial large subunit ribosomal RNA", at positions 2628 to 2925 of the family's 2925-position model. The record is from RNAcentral. Lineage: Bacteria; Pseudomonadati; Pseudomonadota; Gammaproteobacteria; Enterobacterales; Enterobacteriaceae.